CAGUCGCCGCGGGAAUACGUAGGGUGCAAGCGUUAAUCGGAAUUACUGGGCGUAAAGCGUGCGCAGGCGGUUAUAUAAGACAGAUAUGAAAUCCCCGGGCUCAACCUGGGAACUGCAUUUGUGACUGUAUAGCUAGAGUACGGCAGAGGGGGAUGGAAUUCCGCGUGUAGCAGUGAAAUGCGUAGAUAUGCGGAGGAACACCGAUGGCGAAGGCAAUCCCCUGGGCCUGUACUGACGCUCAUGCACGAAAGCGUGGGGAGCAAACAGGAUUAGAGACCCGAGUAGUCCCUGUCCUUAUACC
This 301-nucleotide ribosomal RNA is filed under the name uncultured bacterium. RNAcentral describes it as "partial 16S ribosomal RNA". It matches the Rfam family "Bacterial small subunit ribosomal RNA", at positions 509 to 808 of the family's 1533-position model. The record is from RNAcentral.